CUGGCCUCAGAAGCCUUCCCAUUUUGGGUGGAAAUGCAGUGCUACAGUGUUUGCCAGAAAGCACCAUAAUUCCAGUGUUCCAAGAGAUGUUUCCUCUUGGUAAUGACUUGAACCCGUCAGUAAUUUAGGCACUAAUGAUGGCCCAGGUCGUGGAUUACAUGAGAACUCCAAUGCAUAUUACUGAACUCCACUACUGUGAAUUCAGACUGUAAUGGCUCAGACACAGUGUCCUCAUCCACCCAAGUGCUACUCCCAAAGGACUUGGUCUUGGCUGCUGGGUGGGUUUCAUGAAGCUUCCAUGAAACAUCUUCAAUCUGGGCAGUGGAUUUCUGCUCAGGUAGCACAUUGCUGAGCCAGGCUGUCUCUGGAAGCACUAAUCAUCCACAAAAUCACCACCAACUCUGCAAU
Molecule: long non-coding RNA, 408 nt
Organism: Pyrgilauda ruficollis (rufous-necked snowfinch)
Lineage: Eukaryota; Metazoa; Chordata; Aves; Passeriformes; Passeridae
Exons: 3
Source: RefSeq, a predicted model, not a curated record